AACACAUGCAAGUCGAGGGGCAGCAUGGUCUUAGCUUGCUAAGGCUGAUGGCGACCGGCGCACGGGUGGGUAACACGUAUCCAACCUGCCGUCUACUCUUGGCCAGCCUUCUGAAAGGAAGAUUAAUCCAGGAUGGGAUCAUGAGUUCACAUGUCCGCAUGAUUAAAGGUAUUUUCCGGUAGACGAUGGGGAUGCGUUCCAUUAGAUAGUAGGCGGGGUAACGGCCCACCUAGUCAACGAUGGAUAGGGGUUCUGAGAGGAAGGUCCCCCACAUUGGAACUGAGACACGGUCCAAACUCCUACGGGAGGCAGCAGUGAGGAAUAUUGGUCAAUGGGCGAUGGCCUGAACCAGCCAAGUAGCGUGAAGGAUGACUGCCCUAUGGGUUGUAAACUUCUUUUAUAAAGGAAUAAAGUCGGGUAUGCAUACCCGUUUGCAUGUACUUUAUGAAUAAGGAUCGGCUAACUCCGUGCCAGCAGCCGCGGUAAUACGGAGGAUCCGAGCGUUAUCCGGAUUUAUUGGGUUUAAAGGGAGCGUAGAUGGAUGUUUAAGUCAGUUGUGAAAGUUUGCGGCUCAACCGUAAAAUUGCAGUUGAUACUGGAUGUCUUGAGUGCAGUUGAGGCAGGCGGAAUUCGUGGUGUAGCGGUGAAAUGCUUAGAUAU
Molecule: ribosomal RNA, 660 nt
Filed under: uncultured bacterium
Lineage: Bacteria
Description: bacterial SSU rRNA
Rfam family: Bacterial small subunit ribosomal RNA
Source: RNAcentral